This is a long non-coding RNA of Hydra vulgaris (swiftwater hydra), 297 nucleotides long. RefSeq lists it as uncharacterized. The record is from RefSeq and is a predicted model, not a curated record. NCBI's taxonomy places the organism in Eukaryota, Metazoa, Cnidaria, Hydrozoa, Anthoathecata, Hydridae.
UUUUUUUUUUAAAAGUAUAAUACUUUUAGCAAAUGUCACUUAUUUCCAAACUAGCAGUUUAUGGCUUGGUUCUUGCAACAGGUUUAUCUCUGGUACCAAUUUACUUUGUGCCAAAAGCUGUUCCAGAAAAAUAUAGAGACAUUCAAAAAGUUUCAAGGAAAGAUAUUGUUCAAUCAGAAGUACAACCUGGAAAUAUGAAGAUUUGGUCAGAUCCAUUUGAUCGUAAAAAAUAAGUUUAACUUGUUAAACAAUCUUAUUGUUUUUAUGGAGAUAAGAACAGCAAAGAAUUCAAAUCUA